This 71-nucleotide transfer RNA is filed under the name Rhodococcus sp. YH1. Its description in RNAcentral is "tRNA-Ser". RNAcentral also lists the same sequence under 2 other names. The record is from RNAcentral. Lineage: Bacteria; Bacillati; Actinomycetota; Actinomycetes; Mycobacteriales; Nocardiaceae.
UCGCUGAUGGCGUGGACGUGCACCUCAUCGACUGAGGUCGAAGUCGUUUCCGUUCAGUCGUAUUCGGCGAC